AAACCCAGCUCAACCCCGCCCCCGCUCGCCUCUCGGGGAAGACUUCCUUCCCACCCACGCCCAACCUCCUCCCACAAACAAAACGUUCCAGACAGGCCCCUAGCCUCCAAAUACCUCAGUUAACAGUAUUUCCCACACCUCCCUGCUUCCAGCUACAACGGUUCUUUUUCACCAAGCGGACCCCAGACUGGAGACACAGGGGUCGGCCUCGAAGGGGGAGAACCAAACCAGCUGGCCUUGUAAGGAUUCUUCACCAACUUGGCACACCGAAAAAUCAUCACAAUUAGGAAGAGAAACAGAAGAACAACAAAGGCAAUGGCGAAGGCUUUGUCUACGUCAACACUGCUUGACAGGCUUGAAUCAUCCAUGGGAACACACAGCUCUUUACCCUUGUUUAGCUGUAGCUACCUCUUCAGGAGCUUCGAAGGGAUUCAGGACAGCAAUCCUCUCCCCCCAGCACCCAUGUGUCACUUUGGCAUAUGCAUCAUUCAGAACUGAAGGCAUUUGAGACCCUGAAGCCUCAAGAACAGCUUUUGUCUCUCUCUUAACCACACAAAAAAUUCUAAAUCUGGGGGUGUUUCCCAAAAUAAGGGUUAUUAAGGGAGAUAAAUUUUGUCUGAGUGACCCAUCUGUAUGGUAUGGCAAUCAUCUAAUUGCCAAACAUCCGCUCUUUUUAUCACCCUCUGAAGUGCAUUCCUUUCCUCUGAAAUCCCAGCCCCCUACUCCCUUCUCUGUAGUUCAGAAUGACAUAUAUAUCUCAUCUUGCCUGUCUUUGGAAUUUCCAUGUCUAUAGGGAGUCCCUGUAUGUACACCUAUUAAAUUUGAUUUUUCUCCUGUUAA
Molecule: long non-coding RNA, 840 nt
Organism: Canis lupus familiaris (dog)
Lineage: Eukaryota; Metazoa; Chordata; Mammalia; Carnivora; Canidae
Exons: 3
Source: RefSeq, a predicted model, not a curated record